This 497-nucleotide ribosomal RNA is filed under the name uncultured bacterium. RNAcentral describes it as "partial 16S ribosomal RNA". It matches the Rfam family "Bacterial small subunit ribosomal RNA", at positions 28 to 507 of the family's 1533-position model. The record is from RNAcentral.
GAUGAACGCUGGCGGCGUGCCUAAUACAUGCAAGUCGAGCGAACAGAUGAGGAGCUUGCUCCUCUGACGUUAGCGGCGGACGGGUGAGUAACACGUGGAUAACCUACCUAUAAGACUGGGAUAACUUCGGGAAACCGGAGCUAAUACCGGAUAAUAUAUUGAACCGCAUGGUUCAAUAGUGAAAGACGGUUUUGCUGUCACUUAUAGAUGGAUCCGCGCCGCAUUAGCUAGUUGUUAAGGUAACGGCUUACCAAGGCAACGAUGCGUAGCCGACCUGAGAGGGGGAUCGGCCACACUGGAACUGAGACACGGUCCAGACUCCUACGGGAGGCAGCAGUAGGGAAUCGUCCGCAAUGGGCGAAAGCCUGACGGAGCAACGCCGCGUGAGUGAUGAAGGUCUUCGGAUCGUAAAACUCUGUUAUUAGGGAAGAACAAAUGUGUAAGUAACUAUGCACGUCUUGACGGUACCUAAUCAGAAAGCCACGGCUAACUACGUG